GACGGUAUAGCUCAGUGGUAGAGUGUGUACUUAGCAUGCACAGAGUCCUGGGUUCAAUCCCUGGUACCGCCG
RNAcentral lists this transfer RNA (72 nucleotides) under Camelus ferus (Wild Bactrian camel). It matches the Rfam family "tRNA". From Rfam's summary of the family: Transfer RNA (tRNA) molecules are approximately 80 nucleotides in length. The record is from Rfam by way of RNAcentral. Lineage: Eukaryota; Metazoa; Chordata; Mammalia; Artiodactyla; Camelidae.